This is a long non-coding RNA of Oncorhynchus keta (chum salmon), 310 nucleotides long. RefSeq lists it as uncharacterized. NCBI's taxonomy places the organism in Eukaryota, Metazoa, Chordata, Actinopteri, Salmoniformes, Salmonidae. The record is from RefSeq and is a predicted model, not a curated record. The transcript is spliced from 3 exons.
UCUGCUAUUGAUCACCAGAGAGGAAAAACGUCCAGUUAUAUUGAUUCAUCGGUGAUUCGUCUUUCUCUUCGGCAACGCAAUCCUCAAUUACUGCAUCAAAUCUCUGACAGCAUGGACCUCUUGCCUGAUCUGUGGAAGCAUGAGUACUGGCUGCCUCCUGGGGUCACCUGGAGAGACAUGGAGCAGAUGGAGGAGUAUCCGCCACCCUGUGACCUGCUGUUUGCCUUGCCUCCGGCUCUGGGGUUCAUUGCCCUCCACUAUGCCUUCCACAGGACUGGCAGAGUGUAUGAAAGAGAUUGCUUUACCCUUU